Molecule: ribosomal RNA, 915 nt
Filed under: uncultured archaeon
Lineage: Archaea
Description: bacterial SSU rRNA
Rfam family: Archaeal small subunit ribosomal RNA
Source: RNAcentral
UUUCCCGGUUGAUCCCGCCGGGACCCGACUGCUAUCAGAAUAGGACUAAGCCAUGCGAGUCAACGUAGCAAUACGUGGCAUACGGCUCAGUAACACGUAGUCAACAUGCCCAGGGGACGUGGAUAACCUCGGGAAACUGAGGAUAAACCGCAAUAGGUCAUAAUAUCUGGAAUGAUUUAUGGCUAAAAUCUACAUGGCCCCUGGAUUGGACUGCGGCCGAUCAGGCUGUUGGUGAGGUAAUGGCCCACCAAACCUAAAACCGGUACGGGCUUUGAGAGGAGAAGCCCGGAGAUGGGCACUGAGACAAGGGCCCAGGCCCUAUGGGGCGUAGCAGGCGCGAAAACUCUGCAAUAAGCGAAAGCUUGACAGGGUUAUUCUGAGUGAUUUCCGCUAAGGAGAUCUUUUGGCACCUCUAAAAACGGUGCAGAAUAAGGGGUGGGCAAGCCUGGUGUCAGCCGCCGCGGUAAUACCAGCACCCCGAGUGGUCGGGACGAUUAUUGGGCCUAAGGCAUCCGUAGCCGGUUCUACAAGUCUUCCGUUAAAUCCACCUGCUUAACAGUUGGGCUGCAGAGGAUACUAUAGAGCUAGGAGGCGGGAGAGGCAAGCGGUACUUAGUGGGUAGGGGUAAAAUCCGUUGAUCCACUGAAGACCACCAGUGGCGAAGGCGGCUUGCCAGAACGCGCUCGACGGUGAGGGAUGAAAGCUGGGGGAGCAAACCGGAUUAGAUACCCGGGUAGUCCCAGCUGUAAACGAUGCAGACUCGGUGAUGAAUAGGCUUCGUGCCUAUUCAGUGCCGCAGGGAAGCCGUUAAGUCUGCCGCCUGGGGAGUACGGUCGCAAGACUGAAACUUAAAGGAAUUGGCGGGGGAGCACCACGAGGGGUGAAGCCUGCGGUUCAAUUGGAGUCAACGCCGGG